Molecule: ribosomal RNA, 497 nt
Filed under: uncultured bacterium
Lineage: Bacteria
Description: partial 16S ribosomal RNA
Rfam family: Bacterial small subunit ribosomal RNA
Source: RNAcentral
GAUGAACGCUGGCGGCGUGCCUAAUACAUGCGAGUCGAGCGAACAGAUGAUGAGCUUGCUCCUCUGACGUUAGCGGCGGACGGGUAAGUAACACGGGGAUAACCUACCUAUAAUACUGGGAUAACUUCGUGGAACCGGAGCUAAUACCGGAUAAUAUAUUGAACAGCAUGGUUCAAUAGUAAAAGACGUUUUUGCUAUCACUUAGAGAUGCAUCCUCGCCCCUUUGUCUCAUUGGUAAGUUAACGGCUUACAAAGGAAACAAGGCGUAGCCGACCUGAGAGGGUGGACGGGCACACUGGAACUGAGAGACGGUGCAGACUCCUAAGGGGAGCAGCAGUAGGGAAUCUUACGCGAGGGGGGAGAGCCUAAUGGAGCAACGCGGAGGGAGUGAUGAUGGACUUCGGCUGGGAGAACGCUGUUAUUAGGGAAGAAGAAAUGUGUAAGUAACUAUGCACGUAUUGACGGUACCUAAUCAGAAAGCCACGGCUAACUACGUG